UCCCUGGUAGCUCAGAUGGUAAAGCGUCUGCCUACAAUGCAGGAGACCCAAGUUCGAUCCCUGGGUCGGGAG
RNAcentral lists this transfer RNA (72 nucleotides) under Ovis aries (sheep). It matches the Rfam family "tRNA". Rfam says of the family: Transfer RNA (tRNA) molecules are approximately 80 nucleotides in length. Their secondary structure includes four short double-helical elements and three loops (D, anti-codon, and T loops). Further hydrogen bonds mediate the characteristic L-shaped molecular structure. tRNAs have two regions of fundamental functional importance: the anti-codon, which is responsible for specific mRNA codon recognition, and the 3' end, to which the tRNAs corresponding amino acid is attached (by aminoacyl-tRNA synthetases). tRNAs cope with the degeneracy of the genetic code in two manners: having more than one tRNA (with a specific anti-codon) for a particular amino acid; and 'wobble' base-pairing, i.e. permitting non-standard base-pairing at the 3rd anti-codon position. Lineage: Eukaryota; Metazoa; Chordata; Mammalia; Artiodactyla; Bovidae. The record is from Rfam by way of RNAcentral.